RNAcentral lists this ribosomal RNA (301 nucleotides) under uncultured bacterium. RNAcentral's name for it is "partial 16S ribosomal RNA". It matches the Rfam family "Bacterial small subunit ribosomal RNA", at positions 509 to 807 of the family's 1533-position model. The record is from RNAcentral.
CAGUCGCCACGGUAAUACGUAGGUGGCAAGCGUUGUCCGGAAUUAUUGGGCGUAAAGGGCUCGCAGGCGGUUUCUUAAGUCUGAUGUGAAAGCCCCCGGCUCAACCGGGGAGGGUCAUUGGAAACUGGGAAACUUGAGUGCAGAAGAGGAGAGUGGAAUUCCACGUGUAGCGGUGAAAUGCGUAGAGAUGUGGAGGAACACCGGUGGCGAAGGCGACUCUCUGGUCUGUAACUGACGCUGAGGAGCGAAAGCGUGGGGAGCAAACAGGAUUAGAUACCCCAGUAGUCCCUGUCUCUUAUAC